GUGCUUGCUUCAGCAGCACAUAUACUAAAAUUUGAACGAUACACAGAAGAUUAGCGUGGCCCUGAGCAAGGGUGACAUGCAAAUUUGUGAAGCGUUCCACUUUUUU
RNAcentral lists this small nuclear RNA (106 nucleotides) under Moschus moschiferus (Siberian musk deer). The record is from RNAcentral. Lineage: Eukaryota; Metazoa; Chordata; Mammalia; Artiodactyla; Moschidae.